AUACUUACCUGACGCGAGAGGCACCUUGAUCAACUAGGAGGUCCUCUCAGGAUGAGGCCCUUUCAUUGCACUUCGACUGGGUUGACACUCCUGCGAUUACCCCUAAUGUGGGUAACUCAAGCCUAUAAUUUUUGGUAGUGGCGACCUGCGUUCGCGCUUGUCUCAU
This is a small nuclear RNA of Dendronephthya gigantea, 166 nucleotides long. RefSeq annotates it as U1 spliceosomal RNA. The transcript has a single exon. The record is from RefSeq and is a predicted model, not a curated record. NCBI's taxonomy places the organism in Eukaryota, Metazoa, Cnidaria, Anthozoa, Malacalcyonacea, Nephtheidae.